GACGAACGCUGGCGGCGUGCUUAACACAUGCAAGUCGAACGGUAAGGCCCCUUCGGGGGUCCACGAGUGGCGAACGGGUGAGUAACACGUGAGCAACCUGCCCUUGACUCUGGAAUAACAGUUGGAAACAGCUGCUAAUACUGGAUAUUCAUCGUCUCCUUCCUGGGGGGUGGUGGAAAGCUCCGGCGGUCAGGGAUGGGCUCGCGGCCUAUCAGCUUGUUGGUGAGGUAAUGGCUCACCAAGGCUUCGACGGGUAGCCGGCCUGAGAGGGCGACCGGCCACACGGGGACUGAGAUACGGCCCAGACUCCUACGGGAGGCAGCAGUGGGGAAUAUUGCACAAUGGGCGCAAGCCUGAUGCAGCAACGCCGCGUGCGGGAGGACGGCCUUCGGGUUGUAAACCGCUUUCAGUAGGGACGAAGGGUGACUGACGGUACCUACAGAAGAAGGACCGGCUAACUACGU
Molecule: ribosomal RNA, 464 nt
Filed under: uncultured bacterium
Lineage: Bacteria
Description: partial 16S ribosomal RNA
Rfam family: Bacterial small subunit ribosomal RNA
Source: RNAcentral